GCGCGUUGGCGGGGUCGGCGCUGCUCACCUCCUGGGUGAGCCGGUCGGCCAGCAGCCGGGGGUCGCCGACCUGGCCGUACA
RNAcentral lists this transfer RNA (81 nucleotides) under Sphaerisporangium krabiense. RNAcentral's name for it is "tRNA-Arg". Lineage: Bacteria; Bacillati; Actinomycetota; Actinomycetes; Streptosporangiales; Streptosporangiaceae. The record is from RNAcentral.